GACGAACGCUGGCGGCGUGGAUUAGGCAUGCAAGUCGAACGGUAUCAUCCUUUCGGGGGUGAGAGAGUGGCGAACUGGUGAGUAACACGUAGGUUAUCUACCCUCAAGACGGGGACAACCCAGGGAAACUUGGGCUAAUACCGGAUGUGAGCAACUUUUAGUUGUUUGAAAGGUGGCGUAAGCUGUCGCUUGGGGAUGAGCCUGCGUCCUAUUAGUUAGUUGGUGAGGUAACGGCUCACCUAGGCAAUGAUAGGUAGGCGGCCUUAACGGGUGGUCGCCCACACUGGGAUUGAGAUACGGCCCAGACUCCUACGGGAGGCAGCAGUCGAGAAUAGUCUACAAUGGCCGAAAGGCUGAUAGUGCGACGCCGCGUGAACGAAGAAGCCCUUCGGGUGUAAAGUUCUUUUAUAUGUGAGCAGUGCUUUCUAUGUGAACAGCAUGGGGAGAGAGAUAUUAGCAUAUGAAUAAGCAACGGCUAACUCCGUGCCAGCAGCCGCGGU
Molecule: ribosomal RNA, 500 nt
Filed under: uncultured bacterium
Lineage: Bacteria
Description: bacterial SSU rRNA
Rfam family: Bacterial small subunit ribosomal RNA
Source: RNAcentral